This 663-nucleotide long non-coding RNA is filed under the name Homo sapiens (human). Its description in RNAcentral is "HSALNT0396741". Lineage: Eukaryota; Metazoa; Chordata; Mammalia; Primates; Hominidae. The record is from RNAcentral.
GAAGAGGGGCGGGGCCGCCCGCUCCAGAGGGACGGAAGCGGCGGGGCCGCCGGAUCCAGGGACAAUGGGGUGGGGCGGGCUUUCCCUGGGUGGGCGCAGCGGCUUCCUGGGUCCCCCUCACGCUCUGGGUCAGAGUUCCUUUACAGGCGGACCUGAGAGGCAACUCACCGACUCCUGCCCUGGACCCUCCUGCGCCACUGAACCCCCUGACCUGGGAGCCUCGGAACCUAGGGCUCAGGAGAUGAACCAGGACUUAUCCGAAGGUACCAAGUGAACUUCUAGGAAAAGUCCAAUUCUCAGAUGCUGGAUGUCUUCCAAAAAUGAAGCAAAUUAGUAACUUAGUAGCUGAGUCAACUAAUCCUGUUAGAUGGUCAACACUGGUUUUUUUAUUUUAAUAUUUUUAAGUGGCAACUCUAGUGUGUGAGAAAAUUAAUGUGACAGCUGAAUUUGUAGAAAGCUGCUUUGACUCUCUUGGGCCCCUUCAUAAGCCCUGGAACUAAAUAAAAGUCUAGUGAAUACAGACCAAGGAAUGACCACAUGAGAACACAGCAAGAAGGCAUCCACCUGCACGCCAGGAAGAGAGCCCUCACCUGCAACUGAAUUGGCUGACUUCUUGAUCUUGGACUUCCAGCCUCCAGAACUAAUGAUGUUGCAGCAUGUUCC